RNAcentral lists this ribosomal RNA (429 nucleotides) under Chloroflexota bacterium. RNAcentral describes it as "Chloroflexi bacterium partial 16S ribosomal RNA". It matches the Rfam family "Bacterial small subunit ribosomal RNA", at positions 355 to 776 of the family's 1533-position model. Lineage: Bacteria; Bacillati; Chloroflexota. The record is from RNAcentral.
UGGGGAAUAUUGCACAAUGGGCGCAAGCCUGAUGCAGCCAUGCCGCGUGUGUGAAGAAGGCCUUCGGGUUGUAAAGCACUUUCAGCGGGGAGGAAGGCGAUAAGGUUAAUAACCUUGUCGAUUGACGUUACCCGCAGAAGAAGCACCGGCUAACUCCGUCCCAGCAGCCGCGGUAAUACGGAGGGUGCAAGCGUUAAUCGGAAUUACUGGGCGUAAAGCGCACGCAGGCGGUCUGUCAAGUCGGAUGUGAAAUCCCCGGGCUCAACCUGGGAACUGCAUUCGAAACUGGCAGGCUAGAGUCUUGUAGAGGGGGGUAGAAUUCCAGGUGUAGCGGUGAAAUGCGUAGAGAUCUGGAGGAAUACCGGUGGCGAAGGCGGCCCCCUGGAAAAAGACUGACGCUCAGGUGCGAAAGCGUGGGGAGCAAACAGG